UGCCGUGAAUAUCUACGGCUCGUCUGAAAUGCCUGAGCGUACCCCACUUUGCGGCGUAUUCGGUGUGAUACAUCUUCACCGGAGUUGAUCCUUUGUGGUCGCGUCUGUAAUGGUGUGGCUCUAUGCUUCGAACCGUCUACCCUGUGGACAAUCUCUGACAAUUUGACCUCAAAUCGGGUGGGACUACCCGCUGAACUUAA
This 200-nucleotide unclassified non-coding RNA is filed under the name soil metagenome. Its description in RNAcentral is "partial contains internal transcribed spacer 2 and large subunit ribosomal RNA". The record is from RNAcentral.